Molecule: unclassified non-coding RNA, 390 nt
Filed under: Hevea brasiliensis (rubber tree)
Lineage: Eukaryota; Viridiplantae; Streptophyta; Magnoliopsida; Malpighiales; Euphorbiaceae
Source: RNAcentral
GAGAUUCACAGAAACAAACUUGUUGCCGACUCCGGGAUUGGCCAUCUCAGGGUCCCACCCAGAUUAUCAACCCGUUUGGCAGCCUCGGAUCCCGCCAACGCAUCAAAUAAACACAAAAAACCCUAACCUUAAUAUUAUUCCGCUUUCAAGCAAAAAAAUUGCUCCUUUCUCUAUUGUAACAGAUCUAACUGUAAAUGAAGAUCAACAGAAACUCCCUCUAACCCUCCGGGGAGAAAGAUAGAGGCGGCGAUAAUGACGUGCGCCGCGGAGAAAGGAGUACGAAAGAAACGUCAGGGAGAAGCCCUACUGAAAACACAGAGAGAGACAGAGGAGGGGGAGGGAGAGCGAAACACGGAGGGCAGCUAAAGCACGAGAGCCAAAUAGGCGAUG